GACGAACGCUGGCGGCGUGCUUAACACACGCAAGUCGAACGGAAAGGCCCUGCUUGCAGGGUGCUCGAGUGGCGAACGGGUGAGUAACACGUGGGUGAUCUGCCCCUUAUUUUGGGAUAAGCCUGGGAAACUGGGUCUAAUACUGGAUAGGACCAUGCUGUAGGUGGUGUGGUGGAAAGAUUAGUUUCGGUAAGGGAUGAGCUCGCGGCCUAUCAGCUUGUUGGUGGGGUAAUGGCCUACCAAGGCGUCGACGGGUAGCCGGCCUGAGAGGGUGGACGGCCACAUUGGGACUGAGAUACGGCCCAGACUCCUACGGGAGGCAGCAGUGGGGAAUAUUGCACAAUGGGCGCAAGCCUGAUGCAGCGACGCCGCGUGGGGGAUGACGGCCUUCGGGUUGUAAACUCCUUUCAGCCAUGACGAAGCCCUUGUGGUGACGGUAGUGGUAGAAGAAGCACCGGCUAACUACGUG
RNAcentral lists this ribosomal RNA (469 nucleotides) under uncultured bacterium. Its description in RNAcentral is "partial 16S ribosomal RNA". It matches the Rfam family "Bacterial small subunit ribosomal RNA", at positions 28 to 507 of the family's 1533-position model. The record is from RNAcentral.